Lathyrus oleraceus (garden pea) is the source of this 908-nucleotide long non-coding RNA. RefSeq lists it as uncharacterized. The record is from RefSeq and is a predicted model, not a curated record. NCBI's taxonomy places the organism in Eukaryota, Viridiplantae, Streptophyta, Magnoliopsida, Fabales, Fabaceae. The transcript is spliced from 2 exons.
CUGCAGCAUUGAACUGCAAGGUUUGUGGAAUAUUAUGACUUGAUUUAUGUGUCAACGAGAUACAUUGUUGUUUUUAACAAGGAGCUUUGUCUAUUGCUGCAUAUGGCUUGGUUCAUGACUUGCUCUUGGUCUGCAACAAGGCUUAUUACAUUGGCUGAUGCAUUGCAGGAUUUGCAGCAGGUAACAAUUCUUGUCAUUCUGCAACUGACUGCAGCCUGGUCUUGCACAGUAUGUUAGUUCCAUUUCUUGACUUGCAUUGCCAACUGUUAUGGAUUUUGUUGGUGUAGCCAUUGGAAUCACAUUUGUCUCCUUUUGCAGGUUGGUAUUCUAUGAUAGAAAUGCAUAUUCAUUCAAGGUCUAAUUUGUUAGAAUGAAUUGCAACAAAGUGUUGCAAAAUUCUGCAAUACUUCAUGACAAGCUGGAUAUGGUACGGCGACAACUUGGUCAGCAAAGUGGCAAAGUAUCUCCAUCUUUCACAUUGCUUGAUAACUGUGGAUGCCAAGCCCUGUAUGAAGCUAUUGAAUGGCUUUGGUUUCCCUUGUAGGCCAUGAAUGCGUAUGGUAAUGGUGGGUGAUCAAAGCAUGCUACCAAGCGACCAAACUUGAAUUUGAAUCAUCGUGCACACAUGGAAAGCUCAAAGGCCAAGAAUGAAAAAUCAACCUUAGAAGUAAAAUUAGGAUUUGGAUUCUAGGAUGAGAAGGGUUUGAGUUGACUUUGGUCAAAGUUGACCAAAAAGUCAAUUGUUGACCAAAAAGUCCAUUGUUGACCAAAAAGUCAACUGUUGACCAAAGUCAACAAUUGGUCAACACACCUUUCUUUGUAUUUUUUCCAUGUAAUGAACCUUUUAUGAUCAUGUAAUGAAUGACAUUUCCUCAUUUGAAUGAACUUGGAUUGGUAUUUGAACUGAA